Sciurus vulgaris (Eurasian red squirrel) is the source of this 135-nucleotide small nucleolar RNA. The record is from Ensembl. NCBI's taxonomy places the organism in Eukaryota, Metazoa, Chordata, Mammalia, Rodentia, Sciuridae.
GCUUGGAUGUGGAUUUAUGGCGUGCUCACCCCUUCAGGUUCUCACUGUGUCCGACGCCAGAGCCGACUGUGUGUCUGAAGCAUUGCCUGGAUUUUGUGCCCAUAGGCUGCUGGCAGUGAGGUGGGUUGCACAGUG